This 402-nucleotide unclassified non-coding RNA is filed under the name Hevea brasiliensis (rubber tree). Lineage: Eukaryota; Viridiplantae; Streptophyta; Magnoliopsida; Malpighiales; Euphorbiaceae. The record is from RNAcentral.
GGAAAAUAAAACGACAUAGAACUUCAUUUUCAACAUUUGAUUUGCCUCCCAUCAAGUAACGCAGGUGAUCCUUUACAAGAUCAUUAUUUGUGAGAUUAUAAGUUUCAAGCUGAGACGAUUUCAUCCGAUUCUUCAUUUCUUCUAGUUCAGAAGGCAUAUGCAUACCGACACUAUAAAGAACAACCGCUUCCUUUUCAGAACUAUAUCUAUACUUGAAUUCUGUAAUAUUCAUAGGCCCAACCAGUUCACAAAAUUUUUUAAAGCUUCCAGGUAUUUCCGGCAAUAUAGUUGCGAGCACAGCCUCUUGUUCACGACCAACAUUGGCAAGUUCAGUAACUAUUCUCAGUUUGUCAAAGUUCAUAUUUGCACCACUGGUUAUUACCACAACAUUUUCUCCCUUCA